This 117-nucleotide non-coding RNA is filed under the name Nomascus leucogenys (northern white-cheeked gibbon). Lineage: Eukaryota; Metazoa; Chordata; Mammalia; Primates; Hylobatidae. The record is from Rfam by way of RNAcentral.
GCUGGGUGUGGCGGCUCACGCCUGUAAUCCCAGCACUUUGGGAGGCCGAGGUGGGUGGAUCACUUGAGGCCAGGAGUUUGACACCAGCCUGGCCAACAUGGUGAAACCCCAUCUCUA